UCUCCGCCAGAGAAUUACAAAUGAAAAAUUUAAAACUCAAAGGACUUGACGGUGUCCCAUAUCGACCUAGAGGAGCCUGUCCUAUAAUCGAUACCCCCCGCUUCACCUAACCUUAACUAGCACCUACCAGCCUAUAUACCGCCGUCGACAGCCUACCCCAUGAGGGAUAAAUAGUAGACAAAAUAGCCCCACUAACACGUCAGGUCAAGGUGUAGCAAAUGUUAAGGAAGAGAUUGGCUACAUUUUUUGAUUACAAAAAAUUACGGAAAAUUUCAUGAAACAAAAUAUGAAGGUGAAUUUAGUAGUAAAAUAAACGAGAAUGUUUAUUUUAACAACGCUCUGGGACGCGUACACACCGCCC
Molecule: ribosomal RNA, 361 nt
Filed under: Takydromus sexlineatus (Asian grass lizard)
Lineage: Eukaryota; Metazoa; Chordata; Lepidosauria; Squamata; Lacertidae
Description: partial 12S ribosomal RNA
Rfam family: Bacterial small subunit ribosomal RNA
Source: RNAcentral